UACGUAGGGGGCAAGCGUUGUCCGGAUUUAUUGGGCGUAAAGAGCGUGUAGGCGGCUUUACAGGUCCGUUGUGAAAACUGGAGGCUCAACCUCCAGACGUCGACGGAAACCGUGUGGCUAGAGUCCGGAAGAGGAGAGUGGAAUUCCUGGUGUAGCGGUGAAAUGCGCAGAUAUCAGGAAGAACACCAAUGGCGAAGGCAGCUCUCUGGGACGGUACUGACGCUGAGACGCGAAAGCGUGGGGAGCGAACAGG
RNAcentral lists this ribosomal RNA (253 nucleotides) under uncultured bacterium. RNAcentral's name for it is "partial 16S ribosomal RNA". It matches the Rfam family "Bacterial small subunit ribosomal RNA", at positions 524 to 776 of the family's 1533-position model. The record is from RNAcentral.